This 31-nucleotide non-coding RNA is filed under the name Rattus norvegicus (Norway rat). Lineage: Eukaryota; Metazoa; Chordata; Mammalia; Rodentia; Muridae. The record is from RNAcentral.
UGCUCUGGAGAUAUUUGCUCAACCACAUAGA